CAGUAGAACGCUGAAGAGAGGAGCUUGCUCUUCUUGGAUGAGUUGCGAACGGGUGAUUAACGCGUAGGUAACCUGCCUUGUAGCGGGGGAUAACUAUUGGAAACGAUAGCUAAUACCGCAUAACAAUGGAUGACACAUGUCAUUUAUUUGAAAGGGGCAAUUGCUCCACUACAAGAUGGACCUGCGUUGUAUUAGCUAGUAGGUGAGGUAAUGGCUCACCUAGGCGACGAUACAUAGCCGACCUGAGAGGGUGAUCGGCCACACUGGGACUGAGACACGGCCCAGACUCCUACGGGAGGCAGCAGUAGGGAAUCUUCGGCAAUGGGGGCAACCCUGACCGAGCAACGCCGCGUGAGUGAAGAAGGUUUUCGGAUCGUAAAGCUCUGUUGUAAGUCAAGAACGGGUGUGAGAGUGGAAAGUUCACACUGUGAUGGUAGCUUACCAGAAAGGGACGGCUAACUACGUGCCAGCAGCCGCGGUAAUACGUAGGUCCCGAGCGUUGUCCGGAUUUAUUGGGCGUAAAGCGAGCGCAGGCGGUUUGAUAAGUCUGAAGUUAAAGGCUGUGGCUCAACCACAGUUCGCUUUGGAAACUGUCAAACUUGAGUGCAGAAGGGGAGAGUGGAAUUCCAUGUGUAGCGGUGAAAUGCGUAGAUAUAUGGAGGAACACCGGUGGCGAAAGCGGCUCUCUGGUCUGUAACUGACGCUGAGGCUCGAAAGCGUGGGGAGCGAACAGGAUUAGAUACCCUGGUAGUCCACGCCGUANACGAUGAGUGCUAGGUGUUGGAUCCNUUCCGGGAUUCAGUGCCGAAGCUAACGC
RNAcentral lists this ribosomal RNA (817 nucleotides) under uncultured bacterium. Its description in RNAcentral is "bacterial SSU rRNA". It matches the Rfam family "Bacterial small subunit ribosomal RNA", at positions 59 to 858 of the family's 1533-position model. The record is from RNAcentral.